RNAcentral lists this ribosomal RNA (479 nucleotides) under uncultured bacterium. RNAcentral describes it as "partial 16S ribosomal RNA". It matches the Rfam family "Bacterial small subunit ribosomal RNA", at positions 28 to 507 of the family's 1533-position model. The record is from RNAcentral.
GAUGAACGCUAGCGGGAGGCCUAACACAUGCAAGCCGAGCGGUAUUGUUUCUUCGGAAAUGCGAGAGCGGCGUACGGGUGCGUAACACGUGUGCAACCUGCCUUUAUCUGGGGGAUAGCCUUUCGAAAGGAAGAUUAAUACUCCAUAAUAUAUUGAACGGCAUCGUUUAAUAUUGAAAGCUCCGGCGGAUAGAGAUGGGCACGCGCAAGAUUAGCUAGUUGGUGAGGUAACGGCUCACCAAGGCGAUGAUCUUUAGGGGGCCUGAGAGGGUGAUCCCCCACACUGGUACUGAGACACGGACCAGACUCCUACGGGAGGCAGCAGUGAGGAAUAUUGGUCAAUGGGUGCAAGCCUGAACCAGCCAUCCCGCGUGAAGGACGACUGCCCUAUAGGUUGUAAACUUCUUUUGUAUAGGGAUAAACCUACCCUCGAGAGGGUAGCUGAAGGUACUAUACGAAUAAGCACCGGCUAACUCCGUG